RNAcentral lists this long non-coding RNA (642 nucleotides) under Olea europaea subsp. europaea. Lineage: Eukaryota; Viridiplantae; Streptophyta; Magnoliopsida; Lamiales; Oleaceae. The record is from RNAcentral.
AGCUGGAAUCAUAUACAAAUCCUCAUAAUUUACUGCUGGCUAGCAAGGACUGCGUGAUCAAAAACUUCUGCUUACCAGUCUUAUCCAGCUCAAUUAUUUUAAUGACCAAUACUAAUCUUCUGAACGUCUUAUUCCCAGUAAAUUUCGUCGUUCCUUUUGGUUCAUCAACUAUUAGAUUUACACAGAAGGGGCAAAAAAUGUUGAAAAACGUUUUGGAAGCAGAAAUUCAACAAACUACCACUGAGUGCAAAAAACAUUAAAUUUUGCAUAAGUGACUUGUUGCAUUGGACAAAAGACAUUCAAUGAUGGACUGUACAAACCUGUAAUUUAUCUACAAUCAACCACCACACACAGAGAGAAAGAAGAAAAAAGGAUGAACCCACAGAAUAUGUAAAAUGUGCUUGUAAAGAUCCUAAAAGGGCAAAGAAUGUCAGCAGAGUAAAAGCAGAAAAUGGGAAGGAAAUAUAGUAAGGCUAAUGAAAUUGAUUUGCAUUACCUUUCCAAUCAAUUCAAACAGGGAUUCAUUGAAAUUUGUACCAGUGAGAAUGACCUGAGGGAAACUGGUGGCGCCGAACCGGGAUCGAAAAUUUGGUGAUCCGCUUUCUCCCCCCGACACCUGAGACUCCAUGUAAAGCCUCGGAC